RNAcentral lists this ribosomal RNA (496 nucleotides) under uncultured bacterium. RNAcentral describes it as "partial 16S ribosomal RNA". It matches the Rfam family "Bacterial small subunit ribosomal RNA", at positions 28 to 506 of the family's 1533-position model. The record is from RNAcentral.
GAUGAACGCUGGCGGCGUGCCUAAUACAUGCAAGUCGAGCGAACGGACGAGAAGCUUGCUUCUCUGAUGUUAGCGGCGGACGGGUGAGUAACACGUGGAUAACCUACCUAUAAGACUGGGAUAACUUCGGGAAACCGGAGCUAAUACCGGAUAAUAUUUUGAACCGCAUGGUUCAAAAGUGAAAGACGGUCUUGCUGUCACUUAUAGAUGGAUCCGCGCUGCAUUAGCUAGUUGGUAAGGUAACGGCUUACCAAGGCAACGAUGCAUAGCCGACCUGAGAGGGUGAUCGGCCACACUGGAACUGAGACACGGUCCAGAAUCCUACGGGAGGCAGCAGUAGGGAAUCUUCCGCAAUGGGCGAAAGCCUGACGGAGCAACGCCGCGUGAGUGAUGAAGGUCUUCGGAUCGUAAAACUCUGUUAUUAGGGAAGAACAUAUGUGUAAGUAACUGUGCACAUCUUGACGGUACCGAAUCAGAAAGCCACGGCUAACUACGU